GGGGUCGACUCUGGGAGGGGAGUCGGGCUGGGGGUCAGAGCAGGGGGCUGGGUGCCCGAGUUCCUGGGGUCGGCUCUGGGGGGUAGUGGGGGCCAUGGCCUGAGCUGGUUCUGGAGCUGGAGCGCACUGACGUCUGUAUCUUGGUUCUGAGCAGGGCGCUGGUAGAGAAGCACCUUGCUGCCUGUGUCAACAUCGUGCCUCAGGUCACGUCCAUGUGAGUGCAGGAGCAAAGGCCUCGUGCUGGACUUGGAUGGGGGGUGGUGGGGGAGCCCCCUGGCCUCCCCAACUGGGGCAGGUGCUCCCUCUGCCUCCCUCUCACCCGCUCCCUCUGCCUCCCUCUCACCUACUCCCUCUGCUGCUGCUUUCAGAUGCCAGUGGAAGGGGAAGAUUGAAGAGUACGGGGAGGUGCUGGUGAUGAUCAAAACCCGGAGUUCCCGGAUCCCAGCACUGACCGACUUUGUCCGGUCGGUGCACCCCUACGAAGUGGCCGAAGUGAUUGCACUGCCCAUCCAGCAGGGAAAUGCGCCCUACCUGCAGUGGGUUGGGGAGACGGUGCCGGAGUGAGACCCCGCAGCAACGCGCCUCGCCCCACGCAUGCUGUAGCCAAUAAAGUGCCCCGGAGCAUCA
Molecule: non-coding RNA, 627 nt
Organism: Pelodiscus sinensis (Chinese soft-shelled turtle)
Lineage: Eukaryota; Metazoa; Chordata; Testudines; Trionychidae
Source: RefSeq, a predicted model, not a curated record